GAUAUCAUAACGACUACUUUAUCGCAAAUAGUUCGCGCCUUCGCGGAACCCGAAUAAACUAGGUAUACAGCAUGACUAAAUAAAUUUAGUCAUGGUAUACAGUAAGUCAGUAAGCUGUAUCAUUGACUGUAAAUACUAUAGUGCUUUUACUCAAUGGUAAUAUCACGGAAUAACUGUUAUUCUGUGGUAAUAUCUCAUACGCAUUGACGCAUUGUAUAAUACACGGUUAUAAGUGGUAUGGGCCGUUGGCGCGCUCGUGACUUAAGCCGCAUGCGCACGAAUUCCACGCGAUCGUAACUGAUAAUAAAUAUUUGUGCUGGUGUGCCUUGUCCGUCGCAGCGUAGAGGAAUAUAAUAUUUUAUUAAUAUAAUGUGCUCUGUGCGUUCGGCGUUGCACUCGGCCGACACCUCCGUUGGUAAGUUUUUGCGCGUUUGACGUGUUUUUCGCGAUUGGCCGUCACAACACACUUCAGUUUCUGCGUCGUCUUCCUUGCGUGCCGUCACUUGUCGAGCUCUCAAAUAUAAUGUUUUAAAGUGAUCCGUCGUGGUGUGGCGUCGAGCGACGGGAGGCUCGAGGAGCGGACCUCCAGCCGUUGGAACUAGCCAUCAUCCCACCGGCAGUGAACGGGAUGGCCUGCAUCGCUUUUUCACAGAUAAACUGUUUUAAUACUAAGAUGAUGAAGAUGAUCCGCAAUCUCAACAAUUGGUAGCAACAAAAGAUAGUAUUGCAGAAGUUAAUCAAUCUAUCAAUACUAAUUUUCACGAUGAAAAAGGCUCGGAACCUCAAUUGGUUGAAAUAAAAGAUAAUACUGUAGAGGCACCCAAGAUAAAUAUGGUA
Myzus persicae (green peach aphid) is the source of this 837-nucleotide long non-coding RNA. RefSeq lists it as uncharacterized. Lineage: Eukaryota; Metazoa; Arthropoda; Insecta; Hemiptera; Aphididae. The record is from RefSeq and is a predicted model, not a curated record. The transcript has 3 exons.